GAAGCUGGAAUUGCUAGUAAUGGCAGGUCAGCAUACUGCCGUGAAUACGUUCCCGGGCCCUUGUACACACCGCCCGUCACACCAUGAGAGUUGGAAAUACCCGAAGCCUGUGAGCUAACAGUAAUGAGGCAGCAGUCGAAGGUAGAGCCAAUGAUUGGGGUGAAGUCGUAACAAGGUAAC
This 180-nucleotide ribosomal RNA is filed under the name uncultured bacterium. Its description in RNAcentral is "partial 16S ribosomal RNA". It matches the Rfam family "Bacterial small subunit ribosomal RNA", at positions 1322 to 1500 of the family's 1533-position model. The record is from RNAcentral.